GCGGACGGGUGAGUAACACGUGGAUAACCUACCUAUAAGACUGGGAUAACUUCGGGAAACCGGAGCUAAUACCGGAUAAUAUAUUGAACCGCAUGGUUCAAUAGUGAAAGACGGUUUUGCUGUCACUUAUAGAUGGAUCCGCGCCGCAUUAGCUAGUUGGUAAGGUAACGGCUUACCAAGGCAACGAUGCGUAGCCGACCUGAGAGGGUGAUCGGCCACGCUGGAACUGAGACACGGUCCAG
RNAcentral lists this ribosomal RNA (242 nucleotides) under uncultured Staphylococcus sp. Its description in RNAcentral is "partial 16S ribosomal RNA". It matches the Rfam family "Bacterial small subunit ribosomal RNA", at positions 98 to 334 of the family's 1533-position model. Lineage: Bacteria; Bacillati; Bacillota; Bacilli; Caryophanales; Staphylococcaceae. The record is from RNAcentral.